This 619-nucleotide unclassified non-coding RNA is filed under the name Hevea brasiliensis (rubber tree). The record is from RNAcentral. Lineage: Eukaryota; Viridiplantae; Streptophyta; Magnoliopsida; Malpighiales; Euphorbiaceae.
GUAUGAAAGGGAUUGCAGGCACCAAUUUUGCCCUCCCACUUUGUGGCUUUCACCAGGUAGAAAUAAUCGGCCACCCAUUGCUGUAGCUGCUAGGACUCAUGAGGUUUUGUCAGCUACUUCAAACGGUGAUGAUGCCUCAACCACUUUGAGCAUGGGCUCCAUCAUUACUGUUAUCCCACACAUCUUCCCAUUUGAAGAAAGGGUUGAGAUGUUUAGAGAAUUCAUCAACAUGGACAAGGCAUCGAGAAAAAUGGCUGGUGAAGUUCUUGGACCUGGUGGACGUUCCGUCGAGAUAGUAAUUCGUCGUGGUCAUAUUAUUGAAGAUGGAUUUCAGCAAUUAAAUAACUUAGGAUCAAGGUUAAAGUCCGGCAUCCACGUCUCUUUCGUGAAUGAGUCUGGUCUUCCAGAGGCUGGCCUGGACUAUGGUGGGCUAUCCAAGGAAUUCUUGACAGAAAUAGCCAAAGCAGCCUUCUCACCUGAGUAUGGGCUAUUCACACAGACCUUGACUUCAGAUAGACAUCUAAUUCCUAAUACAGCUGCAAGAUUUUUGGACAAUGGAAUUCAAAUGAUCGAGUUUCUGGGGAGAAUCGUUGGCAAAGCACUCUAUGAAGGAAUAUUG